This 399-nucleotide ribosomal RNA is filed under the name Triticum aestivum (bread wheat). RNAcentral's name for it is "partial small subunit ribosomal RNA". The record is from RNAcentral. Lineage: Eukaryota; Viridiplantae; Streptophyta; Magnoliopsida; Poales; Poaceae.
AUGGUUUUAUAUAUGUUGUCAUUCUUCCACCUACCGAAAGGGGUUCUCCAGCGACUAGACUACUUUAGAUCCAGAUUUUUUUGGCAAUGCGAUAAUGUAUCCAAGAAAUAUCGACUGGUUAGGUGGAGCAUAUUAUGCAGACCUAAAAGUCAAGGGGAGUUUGGAAUCCAAGACCUUGAGAUUAAAAACAUUGCUCUUCUCAGCAAGUGGGUUUACAAACUACUCACUAAGAAUGGAGUAUGGCAGGAAAUCAUUCGCAACAAGUAUGUGGGAUCCAAUGUCAUUUCUCAAGUUCAUGGGAAACCUGGGGAUUCGCACUUCUGGAGUGUUGUGAUGAAGGCCAAGGAAUUCUUUUUCCAAUUUGGGACCUUAUCAGUUAAGGACGGUUCUAAGGUUUGA